GCACUAGCAAAGAGAAGCCCGAAGAGGCUGAAGUUUCCACGGAGGGCACCGUCGGGGAGACGCAGCCCGGGAGGACGGGAGGGUUGGGCUCGCUACCUCUGCACACGGGCGAGCCGGGGCUCCGUCUCUCAGCAUGUGACACCUUCUGCCAUGAGAUGAUGCUACAAGAAGAACCUCACCGACUGCUGGCACCUUGAUACUGGACUUCACAGCCUCCAGAAUUGUGAGCCAGUAAGUUUCUGUUCAUUAUAAAUUACCCAGUCUGUGGUAUCAUUAUAAAUUACCCAGCCCAUGGUAUUCUGUUACAGCAGCACAAAACAAAUUAAUACAGGUAGGGUGGAGUAGAAAACAGUGCAAUCAGUGGAGAGCAAGAUAGUCAGAAGUGAAUAUAGGGUUGAAGAGCUCUGGCAUCAUGAGGAAUACGAAAAGGAAACAAAACUGUAUUUUCCACAUGUGUCAGAUCAUCAGGCAUAUCUGGGUCCCUUGCUAAAAACACAGAUUUCAGUCCCCUUUCCUGGAGAGUCUAAUUCAGCUGGUCUGCUGGUGGGAGGGUUAGGACUGUAUAAUU
Molecule: long non-coding RNA, 568 nt
Organism: Homo sapiens (human)
Lineage: Eukaryota; Metazoa; Chordata; Mammalia; Primates; Hominidae
Gene: GLCCI1-DT
Product: GLCCI1 divergent transcript
Source: Ensembl